RNAcentral lists this ribosomal RNA (467 nucleotides) under uncultured bacterium. RNAcentral's name for it is "partial 16S ribosomal RNA". It matches the Rfam family "Bacterial small subunit ribosomal RNA", at positions 28 to 506 of the family's 1533-position model. The record is from RNAcentral.
GACGAACGCUGGCGGCGUGCUUAACACAUGCAAGUCGAACGGAAAGGCCCUGCUUUUGUGGGGUGCUCGAGUGGCGAACGGGUGAGUAACACGUGAGUAACCUGCCCUUGACUUUGGGAUAACUUCAGGAAACUGGGGCUAAUACCGGAUAGGAGCUCCUGCUGCAUGGUGGGGGUUGGAAAGUUUCGGCGGUUGGGGAUGGACUCGCGGCUUAUCAGCUUGUUGGUGGGGUAGUGGCUUACCAAGGCUUUGACGGGUAGCCGGCCUGAGAGGGUGACCGGCCAAAUGGGGACGGGAGAACGGCCAGGACUCCUAGGGGGGGAAGAGGUGGGGAAUUUUGCCAAAGGGGGGGAAGCCUGAUGCAGAAACGCCGGGGGGGGGAUGACGGCCUUGGGGUUGAAAACCGUUUUCGCCGGUGACGAAGCGGGGGUGACGGUAAUGGGUAAAGAAGCACCGGCUAACUACGU